RNAcentral lists this transfer RNA (66 nucleotides) under Gunungiella wangi. Its description in RNAcentral is "tRNA-Phe". The record is from RNAcentral. Lineage: Eukaryota; Metazoa; Arthropoda; Insecta; Trichoptera; Philopotamidae.
UAUUUAAAUAGCUUAAUUAGAGUAUAAUAUUGAAGAUAUUGGGGUAAAUAUAAAUAUUUUUUAAAU